UGAGUAACACGUAGCUAACCUGCCCUCGAGUGGGGGAUAACCUGGGGAAACUCGGGCUAAUACCGCAUAACGUCCUGGUUGCGCGAGCAGCCGGGAUCAAAGGCCCGCAAGGGUCGCUUGGGGAGGGGGCUGCGGCCGAUUAGCUAGUUGGUGAGGUAACGGCCCACCAAGGCUAUGAUCGGUAGCCGGCCUGAGAGGGCGCACGGCCACACUGGCACUGAAACACGGGCCAG
This 233-nucleotide ribosomal RNA is filed under the name uncultured bacterium. RNAcentral describes it as "partial 16S ribosomal RNA". It matches the Rfam family "Bacterial small subunit ribosomal RNA", at positions 107 to 334 of the family's 1533-position model. The record is from RNAcentral.